Molecule: unclassified non-coding RNA, 343 nt
Filed under: uncultured fungus
Lineage: Eukaryota; Fungi
Description: partial contains small subunit ribosomal RNA, internal transcribed spacer 1, and 5.8S ribosomal RNA
Rfam family: Eukaryotic small subunit ribosomal RNA (bases 1-73)
Source: RNAcentral
GCAAACUUGGUCAUUUAGAGGAAGUAAAAGUCGUAACAAGGUUUCCGUAGGUGAACCUGCGGAAGGAUCAUUACUGAAAUGCGUGGAGAUGUUGCUGGCUUCUUGUUAGGGGGGGGCAAUGGGUGCACUCUUCCAGCUUUCACAAACCACCCCUUGUGCACCUUUUGUAGGGUCAGCCCCAGUGAUGGUGGUUUUCUAAGCCUCAGGAAGCGGGGGGAGACUCUAUGUCUUUUUUGCUACCUUUUUACACAGUGAAUGUGUAUGGUGUUGAUUGCUUAAUAACCAAAUAAAAACAACUUUCAACAAUGGAUCUCUUGGCUCUCGCAUCGAUGAAGAACGCAGC